This 484-nucleotide ribosomal RNA is filed under the name uncultured bacterium. RNAcentral's name for it is "partial 16S ribosomal RNA". It matches the Rfam family "Bacterial small subunit ribosomal RNA", at positions 30 to 507 of the family's 1533-position model. The record is from RNAcentral.
AUUGAACGCUGGCGGCAGGCCUAACACAUGCAAGUCGAGCGGAUGAAGGGAGCUUGCUCCUGGAUUCAGCGGCGGACGGGUGAGUAAUGCCUAGGAAUCUGCCUGGUAGCGGGGGAUAACGUCCGGAAACGGGCGCUAAUACUGCAUACGUCCUGAGGGAGAAAGUGGGGGAUCUUCGGACCUCACGCUAUCAGAUGAGCCUAGGUCGGAUUAGCUAGUUGGUGGGGUAAAGGCCUACCAAGGCGACGAUCCGUAACUGGUCUGAGAGGAUGAUCAGUCACACUGGAACUGAGACACGGUCCAGACUCCUACGGGAGGCAGCAGUGGGGAAUAUUGGACAAUGGGCGAAAGCCUGAUCCAGCCAUGCCGCGUGUGUGAAGAAGGUCUUCGGAUUGUAAAGCACUUUAAGUUGGGAGGAAGGGCAGUAAGUUAAUACCUUGCUGUUUUGACGUUACCAACAGAAUAAGCACCGGCUAACUUCGUG